RNAcentral lists this ribosomal RNA (508 nucleotides) under uncultured bacterium. Its description in RNAcentral is "partial 16S ribosomal RNA". It matches the Rfam family "Bacterial small subunit ribosomal RNA", at positions 28 to 507 of the family's 1533-position model. The record is from RNAcentral.
GACGAACGCUGGCGGCGUGCCUAAUACAUGCAAGUCGAACGCUUCUUUCCUCCCGAGUGCUUGCACUCAAUUGGAAAGAGGAGUGGCGGACGGGUGAGUAACACGUGGGUAACCUACCCAUCAGAGGGGGAUAACACUUGGAAACAGGUGUUAAUACCGCAUAACAGUUUAUGCCGCAUGGCAUAAGAGUGAAAGGCGCUUUCGGGUGUCGCUGAUGGAUGGACCCGCGGUGCAUUAGCUAGUUGGUGAGGUAACGGCUCACCAAGGCCACGAUGCAUAGCCGACCUGAGAGGGUGAUCGGCCACACUGGGACUGAGACACGGCCCAGACUCCUACGGGAGGCAGCAGUAGGGAAUCUUCGGCAAUGGACGAAAGUCUGACCGAGCAACGCCGCGUGAGUGAAGAAGGUUUUCGGAUCGUAAAACUCUGUUGUUAGAGAAGAACAAGGACGUUAGUAACUGAACGUCCCCUGACGGUAUCUAACCAGAAAGCCACGGCUAACUACGUG